RNAcentral lists this unclassified non-coding RNA (499 nucleotides) under uncultured Glomus. RNAcentral's name for it is "SSU rRNA". It matches the Rfam family "Eukaryotic small subunit ribosomal RNA", at positions 591 to 1092 of the family's 1831-position model. Lineage: Eukaryota; Fungi; Glomeromycota; Glomeromycetes; Glomerales; Glomeraceae. The record is from RNAcentral.
CCAAUAGCGUAUAUUAAAGUUGCUGCAGUUAAAAAGCUCGUAGUUGAAUUUCGGGACUAAUAUGUCGGUCGUGCCUCGGUACGUACUGGUAUUUUUGGUUUCUCCCUUCUGACGAACCUUGAUGUCAUUAAUUUGGUGUCUUGGGAAAUCAGGACUGUUACUUUGAAAAAAUUAGAGUGUUUAAAGCAGGCUCACGCUUGAAUACAUUAGCAUGGAAUAAUGAAAUAGGACGUUUGAUUCUAUUUUGUUGGUUUCUAGGAUCGACGUAAUGAUUAAUAGGGAUAGUUGGGGGCAUUAGUAGUGAAUAGUCAGAGGUGAAAUUCUUGGAUUUAUUGAAGACUAACUACUGCGAAAGCAUUUGCCAAGGAUGUUUUCAUUAAUCAAGAACGAAAGUUAGGGGAUCGAAGACGAUCAGAUACCGUCGUAGUCUUAACCAUAAACUAUGCCGACUAGGGAUCGGAUGAUGUUAAUUUUUUAAUGACUCAUUCGGCGCCUUACG